GUUGUAUGGUUAAGUGACUAAGCGUACACGGUGGAUGCCUUGGCAGUCAGAGGCGAUGAAAGACGUAGUAACUUGCGAUAAGCCCAGAUUAGGUAGUAACAACCAUUUGAGUCUGGGAUUUCUGAAUGGGGAAACCCACUUACAUAAGUAAGUAUCCUUACCUGAAUACAUAGGGUAAGGAGGCGAACCGGGGGAACUGAAACAUCUAAGUACCCCGAGGAAAAGAAAUCAACCGAGAUUCCGAAAGUAGCGGCGAGCGAAAUUGGACUAGCCCUUAAGCUUUACACGCGUUAGACGAACGGUCUGGAAAGUCCGACGAUACAGGGUGAUAGUCCCGUAG
Molecule: ribosomal RNA, 340 nt
Filed under: Vibrio parahaemolyticus
Lineage: Bacteria; Pseudomonadati; Pseudomonadota; Gammaproteobacteria; Vibrionales; Vibrionaceae
Description: partial 23S ribosomal RNA
Rfam family: Bacterial large subunit ribosomal RNA
Source: RNAcentral